This 334-nucleotide unclassified non-coding RNA is filed under the name soil metagenome. Its description in RNAcentral is "partial contains 5.8S ribosomal RNA, internal transcribed spacer 2, and large subunit ribosomal RNA". The stretch from base 1 to 120 matches the Rfam family "5.8S ribosomal RNA", at positions 35 to 154 of the family's 154-position model. The record is from RNAcentral.
GAUGAAGAACGUAGCGAAAUGCGAUACGUAAUGUGAAUUGCAGAAUUCAGUGAAUCAUCGAAUCUUUGAACGCACAUUGCGCCUGCCAGCACUCUGGCAGGCAUGCCUGUUCGAGCGUCAUUUCAACCAUCAAGCCCUAGGCUUGCGUUGGAGCCCUGCGGCUGCCGCAGGCCCCUAAAAGCAGUGGCGGGCUCGCUAUCACACCGAGUGCAGUAGAUUACUCUUAGCUCAGGGCGUGUGGCGGGUUCCAGCCGUGAAACCCCCUACUUCUCAAGGUUGACCUCGGAUCAGGUAGGAAUACCCGCUGAACUUAAGCAUAUCAAUAAGCGGAGGA